This 206-nucleotide microRNA precursor is filed under the name Oryza sativa Indica Group (long-grained rice). Its description in RNAcentral is "osa-MIR408". The stretch from base 12 to 193 matches the Rfam family "MIR408 microRNA precursor family". The record is from RNAcentral. Lineage: Eukaryota; Viridiplantae; Streptophyta; Magnoliopsida; Poales; Poaceae.
GGGAGUUCUGUGAUUGGAGAGGAGAGGAGACAGGGAUGAGGCAGAGCAUGGGAUGGGGCUAUCAACAGAUGUAGAUUAUUCCUUGCACAAGAGAUGAUGAUGAGCUGUGAAUGAGUUCUGAGAGAUGGCUGGUGUUGUUGUUGCUCCCUCCCCUGCACUGCCUCUUCCCUGGCUCCCCUGCACACCUCUCUCUCUCUCUCUCUCUC